AUGGGUGCUGCAAGGGGAGGCGUCUCGGCGCUGCUCGUGGCCGCGCUCCUGCUCGGCGCCUUCGCCCCUCCGGCCUCCGCGGCGUCGUACCCCGCAAAGGUGGUCAGCGGCUUCCUCUCCAAUGCGGCGUCGGCGGUGCUGAAGCGGCUGUGGUCGCUCAAAUCGACGGUCAAGACAGCGAGCGGGGCCAAGUCCAUGGUCAAGUACGAGGGCGGCUACACCGUGGAGACGGUCUUCGACGGCAGCAAGCUGGGGAUCGAGCCGUACACCGUGGAGGUCACCCAGGGUGGCGAGCUGCUCGUCAUGGACUCCAUGAACAGCAACAUCUACCGGAUCGCGCUGCCGCUGUCCCGAUAUAGCAGACCAAAGCUUGUUGCUGGUUCACCAGAAGGAAUUCCUGGUCAUAUUGAUGGGAGGCUGCGAGAGGCAAAGAUGAACCAUCCAAAGGGAUUUACGGUGGACGGCAGGGGCAACAUAUACGUGGCUGAUGCUAUGAACAUGGCUGUUAGAAAGAUCAGUGAUACAGGAGUUACAACUAUUGCUGGUGGGAAAUCAAGCAGAGGAGGGCAUGUUGAUGGACCAAGUGACGAUGCAAAAUUUUCUACUGAUUUUGAAGUCCGUUACAUUGCCAGUAGCUGCUCCCUUUUGGUGAUUGACAGAGGAAAUCAAGCUAUUCGGGAGAUUCAGCUCAACUUUGAUGACUGUGUGUACCAGUAUGAAGCUGGUUUUCCUCUAGGAGUAGCACUGCUUCUUGCUGCUGCUUUCUUCGGCUACAUGCUUGCAUUGCUCCAACGCCGGGUUUUAGGGAUGGUAUCAACAGAAGAUGAACUCCAGACUCCAAUGAAAGCCAGCAUCGCAAGCAUCCCUCCAUACCAGAUUCAGAAGCCGCUAAAGCCUUCCCUUCGACCCCCGCUAAUCCCAAACGAGGACGAAUCCGAGAAACAAGAAGUCGAAGAGGGGUUCUUCACCUCACUAGGCAAGCUAAUCGGAGGAGCAAAAUCAUCCGUUGCCGAGAUCGUCGGUGCAGCAUUUUCCAGGAAGAAGCGCCCAAGCGUCCACCAUUACCAGCAGGGCAGAGCAAGCCCCUGGCCAGUGCAAGAAAGCUACGCCAUCCCGCGCGACGAGACGCCUCCGGUGGUGGACACGAGGACGCCGACCCCUCGCAAGAACUACGCUUUCAUGUCCAAGGAGCCGGAGAAGAUCCACCACAUCCGGCAGGGCCGGGCCCCGUACAACGGCUGGAACAACGGAGAAUCGCCCCAGCAGCAGCAGCAGCAGCAGCAGCAACAGGUGCAUCACCAGUACCUGCAGCACAACAGGCAAUACUCCCUGGGGCCGCAGACGUUCUACGAGCCGAGCUGCGAGGCGGCGAACGAGAUCGUCUUCGGGGCGGUGCAGGAGGUGGACAGCGCGCGCCGCGCCGUGGAGAUCAAGCCGGUGAACCACUGCGACGCGGCGGCCUACGAGCAGGGCGGGCUGCGCUACCGCAGCAGCGGCUACAUGGGCUAG
This 1509-nucleotide ribosomal RNA is filed under the name Triticum aestivum (bread wheat). RNAcentral's name for it is "partial small subunit ribosomal RNA". The record is from RNAcentral. Lineage: Eukaryota; Viridiplantae; Streptophyta; Magnoliopsida; Poales; Poaceae.